This 174-nucleotide unclassified non-coding RNA is filed under the name uncultured Xylariales. Its description in RNAcentral is "sequence contains ITS1". Lineage: Eukaryota; Fungi; Ascomycota; Sordariomycetes; Xylariales. The record is from RNAcentral.
CAGAGUUUAUCCAACUCCCAAACCCAUGUGAACUUACCUUUUGUUGCCUCGGCAGGGCCCGAGGGCGCCGCUACGCUCCCGCAGCUAGCGAGGCCCGCGGCGGCCUGCCGGUGGACUACUAUAAACUCUUGUUAUCUACUGUGGAACUCUGAGUUAUACAAACUUAAUAAGUUA